This 492-nucleotide ribosomal RNA is filed under the name uncultured bacterium. RNAcentral's name for it is "partial 16S ribosomal RNA". It matches the Rfam family "Bacterial small subunit ribosomal RNA", at positions 29 to 507 of the family's 1533-position model. The record is from RNAcentral.
AGUGAACGCUGGCGGUAGGCCUAACACAUGCAAGUCGAACGGCAGCACAGUAAGAGCUUGCUCUUACGGGUGGCGAGUGGCGGACGGGUGAGGAAUACAUCGGAAUCUACUUUUUCGUGGGGGAUAACGUAGGGAAACUUACGCCAAUACCGCAUACGACCUACGGGUGAAAGCAGGGGAUCUUCGGACCUUGCGCGAUUGAAUGAGCCGAUGUCGGAUUAGCUAGUUGGCGGGGUAAAGGCCCACCAAGGCGACGAUCCGUAGCUGGUCUGAGAGGAUGGUCAGCCACACUGGAACUGAGACACGGUCCAGACUCCUACGGGAGGCAGCAGUGGGGAAUAUUGGACAAUGGGCGCAAGCCUGAUCCAGCCAGACCGCGUGGGUGGAGAAGGCCUUCGGGUUGUAAAGCCCUUUUGUUGGGAAAGAAAAGCAGCAGGUUAAUACCCCGCUGUUCUGACGGUACCCAAAGAAUAAGCACCGGCUAACUUCGUG